UUUUAUGGCGAAGCUGGAGAGGGACGCUUUCGAGCGUACAGGAAACCUUGUAGUCCUGUCUUCCAACCCUUUUCAGCUUUGCCACCCUC
Molecule: non-coding RNA, 89 nt
Filed under: Acinetobacter pragensis
Lineage: Bacteria; Pseudomonadati; Pseudomonadota; Gammaproteobacteria; Moraxellales; Moraxellaceae
Source: RNAcentral